UACAGAGGGUGCGAGCGUUAAUCGGAAUGACUGGGCGUAAAGGGUGCGUAGGUGGUUUGGUAAGUGAGAUGUGAAAUACCCGGGCUUAACCUGGGAAUGGCGUCUCAUACUGUCAGACUCGAGUGUUGUAGAGGGAAGCGGAAUUUCCGGUGUAGCGGUGAAAUGCGUAGAUAUCGGAAGGAACAUCAGUGGCGAAGGCGGCUUUCUGGACAACAACUGACACUGAGGCACGAAAGCGUGGGGAGCAAACAGGAUUAGAAACCCUGGUAGU
Molecule: ribosomal RNA, 271 nt
Filed under: uncultured bacterium
Lineage: Bacteria
Description: partial 16S ribosomal RNA
Rfam family: Bacterial small subunit ribosomal RNA
Source: RNAcentral